Vicia villosa (hairy vetch) is the source of this 2520-nucleotide long non-coding RNA. RefSeq lists it as uncharacterized. Lineage: Eukaryota; Viridiplantae; Streptophyta; Magnoliopsida; Fabales; Fabaceae. The record is from RefSeq and is a predicted model, not a curated record. The transcript is spliced from 8 exons.
AAUAAGUUACCAACAAUGCGCAGUUACAACGAACGUGAAAACGGAAAAGCGAUACUUGCUCCUCUUAAAAGUGCUUAUCUAACGUGUUUUUCAAUCUCUUCCUCGACCAAAUCCAAUCAGUGGCAGAGCAUGGUGAUUAAUGGAACAAGCGAAUGAGAAUGAAAUUAAGAGAAACGAAAGAUACAUGAAGAUGAUGCCGACGCAGAUUCAUGAUGGAAUUCGAUAACUCCACUACCUGGUGCUUGGCCCCAGAAGCCUGGUUCUGCUACUUGCCCUUUCUUUGGAGUCGAGCCUGUCAUAGUGGAUGAGAAAGGUGUUGCGAUAGAAGGAGAGUCUAGUGGUUACUUGUGUGUUAAGAGAUCAUGGCCAGGGGCAUUCAGAACUUUGUAUGGCGAUCAUGAACGAUAUGAAACAACAUAUUUCAAGCCCUUUGCUGGCUACUAUUUCAAUGGUGAUGGCUGCAGCAGGGAUAAAGAUGGAUACUAUUGGCUUACUGGGAGAGUUGAUGAUGUCAUUAAUGUCAGUGGCCAUCGUAUUGGGACAGCUGAAGUAGAAUCAGCUCUAGUUUCACAUCCAAAAUGUGCUGAAGCAGCCGUUGUAGGCGUGGAGCACGAGGUGAUAAAUUUAUGAUCAAGAGGAGAUACAUGUAUCUAACUGAAGAGAUUUUGAAAGAGAAUCCUAGUCUUUAUGAAUUCAUUAUCUGCAGCAGGAUUCCAGUUCAUCUGUUCCGAUUUCUGUGAAUCCAAACAUGAAUGUUCAUGUUCGAUUCUUUAGAAGCCACGAGUAUCCGCGACAUCAGCAACAGCAGCAGCAGUAUGGUUCUCUUCUAGCACUUCCUGUGUUCGAAAGAGGAAGUGGAACAUGUCUAGGUGUCAUUGAGUUUGUUAUCGCCAAUCAAAACCUCAUCAAUUAUCGUCCACAACUCGAUCAUCUCUCCAAUGCUCUCGAGGUUGAGGAGCAAAAUCUACAAGAUCAAAUACAAAUGGUUGAAGAGGAUAAAGAUAUAGAAAUGUUGCCAAAACAAAAAUCAAAGAAGAAGAAAACUUAUAUAUGAAGAAACUUAAUGGUUCGAUGAUUUUGGACCAAAGCAUUUCCAUUUCAUGCUGGGAAGCUUAUACAGAUGACAAUAGUUGGAACAGGCAUAACGUUGAAGACAGUAUUACAUGCUCUCAAGUAUGCCUUAAAACCCUUCCUUAGAAAGCUCUCUUACUUUUAGUUUGACCAAAGUGAGAACUUAAGUUUUUAUUUUGUUACAUUUUUAAAAAUAUUCAUAAACCAUGCUAUCAACUUGAGUCACUAGUUGAUACUCUGUCAAAUACACACGAGAAAUUAUAUUAGAUGAACAUAAAUUUCAACCAUUGUUUUCUUCUCAAUUAUCUCAAUCCCUUUCCCAAAUGUAACUUGGAGUCUGUUUGAAUUGACUUGUUUGAACUAAUCUACUAGCAUAAGUGUUAUCAAACAGCGGCACCAUGGUCGCUAUGGCGGGUGGUUUUUGAGCUCACUACGAUGGUAAAUAUUGCAGGUUUUUCCGCUAUAAUUUGCUAUAAUGGUGCCGCAAAGCGGCCGAUAUAUAAUUGCAGGUUUUUCCGCUAUAAUCUACUAUAAUGAUAAAAAAAGACACAUAAUUGCAUUACUUAACCUUAGGACAGAAGCUGAAAACAUGCAGCCCGUGUCCGUCGAUUAAUUCUUUCCAUGAGUUCCGAUUCAACUAGAAACUAUAAUUUGAGUUUGAAGAUAAGAUUAUACCCGAGAAAGUAGUUUCAAUUCAUUACUUACUCGGUGAGUCAUUCUUUUCUGUUAAUUUUUCUGUCUUGAGUUCUAUAUACAACUUACUAAUAUAUAUCUAAGUAAUUAGUCGAUAAAAAAAUCAAAGUAAUUACUAUAGUUGAAAUAUUUAAUAUGUUAGUGAAAACGGUCUUACAUGAUUGUUCUUGGUUUUUUUUUACAGUUAUGUUUGAUUGAUGUGCAUGUAAAUCUGAAAGAUUUGAUCAUAUAGACUCUUAAAGAGGCUUUUGAGGUCUUUUGCAACAAAGGUGUUGCUGGAAACUCUAGUCCAGAACUUCUUGCCACUUUUUGUGAUAACAUUCUCAACAAAGGAUGCUUUCAUUAUUUUAUGGACUUUGGCAGUACAUGUUCAACAAGUUAAAGCUUCAUGUACUCAUUUUAGGGAUUGACAAGGCUGGCAAAACGACUUUGCUUGAGAAGAUGAAGUCGGUGUACACGAAUGUAGAAGGUCUUCCUCCGGAUCGAAUUGUGGAAAGCAAUUGCUUCUCCAGGGCGUGGUAUUUUGGCCAUGGAUGAAUCCAAUGCUACAUGUGGAAAGCGGUUGAAUUCAAUUGGACUAGAGAACACCGAAGCUAACCGUCAAGCAUGGCGUAAAAUUAUAUAUGAAGAAAGUGUUAUGACUUGGUUAAAAUAUAAUUUUUAUGUGUAUGAUUUUAUAGUACUUGAAAUAUUAUGAAUGCACAUGAUAUUGUAUACUUUUUGGUUAAUAUUAAAAAUAUUUUGACUUAGUUAAAA